Molecule: ribosomal RNA, 356 nt
Filed under: uncultured fungus
Lineage: Eukaryota; Fungi
Description: SSU rRNA
Rfam family: Eukaryotic small subunit ribosomal RNA
Source: RNAcentral
GUAGUCAUAUGCUUGUCUCAAAGAUUAAGCCAUGCAUGUCUAAGUAUAAAUGAAUUUAUAUUGUGAAACUGCGAAUGGCUCAUUAAAUCAGUUAUGAUCUACGUGACAUAUUUCUUUACUACUUGGAUAACCGUGGUAAUUCUAGAGCUAAUACAUGCAAAAAAGCCCUGACUUCGGAAGGGGUGCACUUAUUAGAUAAAGCCAACGCUGGGUAAAACCAGUUUCCCUUGGUGAUUCAUAAUAAUUUAGCGGAUCGCAUGGCCUUGUGCUGGCGACGGUCCACUCGAUUUUCUGCCCUAUCAUGGUUGAGAUUGUAAGAUAGAGGCUUACAAUGCCUACAACGGGUAACGGGGAAU